Molecule: ribosomal RNA, 492 nt
Filed under: uncultured bacterium
Lineage: Bacteria
Description: partial 16S ribosomal RNA
Rfam family: Bacterial small subunit ribosomal RNA
Source: RNAcentral
AGUGAACGCUGGCGGUAGGCCUAACACAUGCAAGUCGAACGGCAGCACAGUAAGAGCUUGCUCUUACGGGUGGCGAGUGGCGGACGGGUGAGGAAUACAUCGGCAUCUACUUUUUCGUGGGGGAUAACGUAGGGAAACUUACGCUAAUACCGCAUACGACCUACGGGUGAAAGCAGGGGAUCUUCGGACCUUGCGCGAUUGAAUGAGCCGAUGUCGGAUUAGCUAGUUGGCGGGGUAAAGGCACACCAAGGCGACGAUCCGUAGCUGGUCUGAGAGGAUGAUCAGCCAAACUGGAACAGAGACACGGUCCAGACUCCUACGGGAGGCAGCAGUGGGGAAUAUUGGACAAUGGGCGCAAGCCUGAUCCAGCCAUGCCGCGUGAGUGAAGAAGGCCUUCGGGUUGUAAAGCCCUUUUGUUAGGAAAGAAAAGCAGCAGGUUAAUACCCCGCUGUUCUGACGGUACCCAAAGAAUAAGCACCGGCUAACUUCGUG